This is a long non-coding RNA of Panicum virgatum (switchgrass), 1346 nucleotides long. RefSeq lists it as uncharacterized. The record is from RefSeq and is a predicted model, not a curated record. The transcript is spliced from 3 exons. Lineage: Eukaryota; Viridiplantae; Streptophyta; Magnoliopsida; Poales; Poaceae.
ACAUUAUUUGUGACGUAACAAUAAAAUGUGCUACAGUACCAAAAUCCAAAUUUUUUCACCAACUAAACACACCCUCAAUGUCAUGAUUUCAUCGAUGCGGGAAUAGAGUGGGUGUCGGUUCCAUCGGCAAGCUCUGAGCAGUGCGGAUUUCUAGAGGGGAGUCAACUAAAAUUGAGUGGCAUUUCAUCACAUUCUGCACAUAUCUUUAGCAGAAACGUUUGCAAUCUCUUUAGGGGGGAGAGGUUUGUCGCUUGAGCCGGCCUGCUGCUACUACAAGGAUUAUGCUUAUUCUACAGAACUCUUAAUUUUUGGUGCCGGAUGAGCUCCUCGAAGUAUUAAUGGACCAUUUAUGGAUUUAUGUCAUGUAGUCAAUCAAAUACUUGCUUCAUGUAUAUUUGACUGAAUACUUAGCUUUGUUAGUUGUCACUACAAGUUUCCAUUAUUUUUUCUACCUUAUUGAGAGCACUAAUGCAUGUCUGUGUAUACAAUUAUGUGGCUUUGUUCAUAUACAAGUAAUAGUGGGGUAAUGAUCUUAAGUGCAUGUUUGUUAUUAUUAUCAAGCAAGGGGUAUGGACCUUGGCGCAGUGUCAACUUUGUAUGUGGCUUUCAGAUACAUUUGAGAUGGAUCAUGGAUCCUGGCAGCAAUAAUACUGCAAGACGGUGAGCCACUGCCAGGCUUCCUGAAGAUGUAGAUCGUCCUCACAUGAGGACGAUGAUGACUACGGCCUCAAUGUGGCACCAUGACCGCCAGGGGCUCAAUGGGAUCGUGUUGCUGUUGCAUGCGGCUGCUAUGGUGAUGUAUUGCUAGUGUUUGAGGCCAUCAUGAUCAAUUCAUCCUCUCGCCAUGCGAACUGGUUGGAGUUCACCCACUACCAAGAGUACAGCUACCUUAUCAGGGCGCAGGAAUCCUAUGUCUACCAAGGCUUUCAGGUCUGCCCAAAGAAGUUUGAAAUGAUGGAGAACAUGCUAAACCUAUCCGUGAAUCCCAUGAAGUGAGAUCAUUCAGUAAGGCUGCUACAAAUUUGUUUCAGGGCAGCCCUGAAGUGAGAUCAUUAUGCGCAGGAAACGUCAUAAAAAAACUGCUCAUCUUUUUAUGUUCUGUUUUUCAAGAUAUUCUUCUGACAAAUAGGUCGUACAAAGUAUGCUACAAAGUUAUAUCGGCAUGUUUUUUUUGUUAUAAUUUGUAUCACAAAACUUAUGAAUCAAAGUUGUGUUAGAAGUUUCGGUGGAAGUUAUGUUGAAAGUUAUCCUUUAGUAAGGAUGCUGGAAAAGUUAUGCUUAAAAUUUAUACGUGUCAUGUUACAAAAUUAUCAUAUAAAAAGUUGGUUGAAAAAGUUGUAUUUUUU